This 72-nucleotide transfer RNA is filed under the name Camelus bactrianus (Bactrian camel). It matches the Rfam family "tRNA". From Rfam's summary of the family: Transfer RNA (tRNA) molecules are approximately 80 nucleotides in length. Their secondary structure includes four short double-helical elements and three loops (D, anti-codon, and T loops). Lineage: Eukaryota; Metazoa; Chordata; Mammalia; Artiodactyla; Camelidae. The record is from Rfam by way of RNAcentral. RNAcentral also lists the same sequence under 2 other names.
AGGGUAAUAGCUCAGUGGUAGAGCAUGUGCUUAGCAUGCACGAGGACCUGGGCUCAAUCCUCAGUACCUCCU